AUACGUAGGGGGCGAGCGUUGUCCGGAAUGAUUGGGCGUAAAGGGCGCGUAGGCGGCCUGUUAAGUCUGAAGUGAAAGUCCUGCUUUUAAGGUGGGAAUUGCUUUGGAUACUGAUGGGCUUGAGUGCAGGAGAGGUAAGUGGAAUUCCCAGUGUAGCGGUGAAAUGCGUAGAGAUUGGGAGGAACACCAGUGGCGAAGGCGACUUACUGGACUGUAACUGACGCUGAGGCGCGAAAGUGUGGGGAGCAAACAGGAUUAGAUACCCUGGUAGUCCACACUGUAAACGAUGAAUGCUAGGUGUAGGGGGUAUCGACCCCUUCUGUGCCGCAGUAAACACAAUAAGCAUUCCGCCUGGGGAGUACGGCCGCAAGGUUGAAACUUAAAGGAAUUGACGGGG
This 397-nucleotide ribosomal RNA is filed under the name uncultured bacterium. Its description in RNAcentral is "partial 16S ribosomal RNA". It matches the Rfam family "Bacterial small subunit ribosomal RNA", at positions 523 to 918 of the family's 1533-position model. The record is from RNAcentral.